UUUGAUCAUGGCUCAGAUUGAACGCUGGCGGCAGGCCUAACACAUGCAAGUCGAGCGGUAACAGGGGUAGCUUGCUACCCGCUGACGAGCGGCGGACGGGUGAGUAAUGCAUAGGAAUCUGCCCGGUAGUGGGGGAUAACCUGGGGAAACCCAGGCUAAUACCGCAUACGUCUACGGGAGAAAGGGGGCUUCGGCUCCCGCUAUUGGAUGAGCCUAUGUCGGAUUAGCUAGUUGGUGAGGUAAAGGCUCACCAAGGCAACGAUCCGUAGCUGGUCUGAGAGGAUGAUCAGCCACAUCGGGACUGAGACACGGCCCGAAACUCUACGGGAGGCAGCAGUGGGGAAUAUUGGACAAUGGGGGCAACCCUGAUCCAGCCAUGCCGCGUGUGUGAAGAAGGCCCUCGGGUUGUAAAGCACUUUCAGCGAGGAAGAACGCCUAUCGGUUAAUACCCGGUAGGAAAGACAUCACUCGCAGAAGAAGCACCGGCUAACUCCGUGCCAGCAGCCGCGGUAAUACGGAGGGUGCAAGCGUUAAUCGGAAUUACUGGGCGUAAAGCGCGCGUAGGUGGCUUGAUAAGCCGGUUGUGAAAGCCCCGGGCUCAACCUGGGAACGGCAUCCGGAACUGUCAGGCUAGAGUGCAGGAGAGGAAGGUAGAAUUCCCGGUGUAGCGGUGAAAUGCGUAGAGAUCGGGAGGAAUACCAGUGGCGA
This 708-nucleotide ribosomal RNA is filed under the name Halomonas sp. GWS-TZ-H306. RNAcentral describes it as "bacterial SSU rRNA". It matches the Rfam family "Bacterial small subunit ribosomal RNA", at positions 12 to 718 of the family's 1533-position model. Lineage: Bacteria; Pseudomonadati; Pseudomonadota; Gammaproteobacteria; Oceanospirillales; Halomonadaceae. The record is from RNAcentral.